CGUGGCUUUGUGGUGAAGACGCCAGACUGAUAACCUGAAGGUCUCUA
This 47-nucleotide transfer RNA is filed under the name Oxyrrhis marina. Its description in RNAcentral is "partial tRNA". The record is from RNAcentral. Lineage: Eukaryota; Dinophyceae; Oxyrrhinales; Oxyrrhinaceae.